AUGGCGCCGCUCUCAUGGCGGCACCAUACGCUGCUGCAGGCGCUGCUCUCCCGUGGACCGCUCUCGGAGCGAGACUUCCACGCCCUCUUCACCGCCAUCUCCGGCGGCAAGAACCCCGCCACUCACCAGCAACUAUUCAGUGAUACACUUAUGAAGAUCAACAAUGAGCUAGGGUAUUUACAAUUUGAUCUGCGAGCAUGUAUAAACCAGUAUGAUGGAACAGUUUAUUAUGGAGUGGUCAACAACAUUUCUGAUGAAGAAUCGAAGCUUGGCUCCAAGUAUUCCGUACCACAGAUUGCAUUCUACAAGGGACUGUUAGAAGCAAUAGUUCAUGAAGCUGGAAAUGAUGGGAGCAUAACUAGUAUUGAAGCUCUCCACGUCCGGAUUGACAACCAGGUCGUGAUUGCGGAUGGUACACAAGACACUCAAUCUCGUCUUCCUUCUUCUAUCACAAAUUUCUUGUUCUCUCAAAAGGAAAAGACUCUUACUGAACUGAUACAAGAUCGUUGGCUGGCGUACACCUCGGAGGGCAAGAUUGGUCUUGGUAUCAGAUCAUUUCUUGAUCUCCGGAGCUGGUUUCGCAGCAAUGAUAUCCCAUCAUGCGAGGUUUGCAAUGAAGCUGGUAUAAAGGCAUCAACUUGUUCCAAGGAGGGAUGCAAUGUGAGAAUCCAUAUCUACUGUCUGAAGAAGAAAUUUCCGCAGCGGAAGGCUUCGAGAGCUUGUCCCCAGUGUGCUACUGAAUGGCCCCAGCAGGAAGGCGAGGACGAGGGCGACGGGGAAGCGAACGAGCCCGGCGGGGAAGGUCAGGAGGGCCCAUCGGCCGACCCUCCUUCGAGGAGGAAACGCAGAGUCAAGGCUGAACUGGCGGAGGAAGCUGAAGAAGCAGGCCCGUCGACCGCGGUGCCCAGGAGAAGUUCGAGGAUGGCCAAAGCCGAGGAGGCAGCGGCUGCAGAUGCUUCACAGCCGGCCAGGUCCUCAAAGAGAAGGAAGAAAUGA
This 996-nucleotide ribosomal RNA is filed under the name Triticum aestivum (bread wheat). RNAcentral describes it as "partial small subunit ribosomal RNA". The record is from RNAcentral. Lineage: Eukaryota; Viridiplantae; Streptophyta; Magnoliopsida; Poales; Poaceae.